CAACGCCUGCAAUACCAUCCUUCGUCUUUCAUGAGCUGAACGGUUCAAGAAUUCCACCCUCGCAGAAAUCGACUCAUUUCAUUCUAAUUUCCAUCCAUCACGCAGUUUUAAAGGCGGUACAUUUUACAACAUUAUACAUAUGCCUAAUCGUACUUCGUGUCACUACGUAAAGAUCUUGCAGAAUCUUAUAUAUCGUGUUUUUUUCGUAUAGAGUCUUUACUUUUGAUAUCAGGCCACAAGUCCGUUACGGGCUUCUUGCCGCUAGGUCUUUUUCCGCAUUUGCGUACACCUCGGGUAGACUGAACGUGACGCUUUUUUUGAUAGACUUGUUUUUUCUAAUAUUAUUGAACCAAACGGCGGUCAACUACUAUUCGUCGGUACAACUCGUUCAUCAAGCAUUGAAAGGAGACUUACCCCGCUCCAAGGCUUACAUAAACCCGUUCUCGAAAACGGAUAAUGCUGCGGUAAAGCGGUUAUGGGUGCCCUACAUUUCCCAUUCCGCAAGUCAGCACCAUACACUUCGCAGCCAAAAUCGUACUUAAGCCUUCGGCCAGCCAUAUAUAAUAUAUGGAGAGUGGUGGCCUGCAAGUACAUACGGCUGCCAUCCUUCGGGAGCUUUACCUUUCCAGCCGGCCAUCAUUUGCGCUGCUACUCCUGGUGGCAUGGGGUAUGGAUACGGCCAUCCCGCCCAACCAUUCGUUGCUAUCGCCGGUGCUGUAUAUCCGUCAUUCGCCCAUAAGCCUCCCCACAUGGCAGCGAUCGCCUCUUGCUUCUUCUUUGCUGCUUCAUCCUCCUUCUUCUUCUUUUCCUUGACCGACCGCUCGAGUAUCGGUUUUGCAAUCUUCUUGAUAUGCUCGGCUCCAACCACCGAGUCGGCGGCGUCGGCGAGUUUCCCGAGUUGCUCGUGGAGAGAGGCAAUAGCCGGAUCUGGCAUUUUUGCGAGAAUCAUAAGAGCCUUGUAAUUAUAUGGCCAUGAGAGCUCUAACCGCGCUUUCAAGACUUCCAUAAUGACUUUUUGGUAAGACUCCGUUUUACCCCACUCUUCAUACCAUGCAAGGCGCGAGUCGUCUGGACCAACAUCGCGCAUGUGGUUCGUGUCGUGCUCUGUCAUGUCGCGAAUAGCGCCUUCAGGGUUGGAUACGAAUGGACUGUGGCGGAUGGUGAUUAGCAGGUGGUAAAUUUAUACAUUAGCAUGGCCUAUUUCUACGACUAUCAAGAGAUAGACUUACUUUGAGCUUGAUAAGCUGCUAGGAAAAGCCCAAUAACCUCCUAUAGCUGGUGGCAUCCCGGCCCCACCGCCACCCCAGAGACCCCAGGGAGCAAUCAUUGGAGCAAGAAAUCUUUUCUUGCGAAGCUUGGAAGGUUUGUGAUUGAAGGCGUAUAUGGCGGCGUGUACAGGUCGGAGCGAGGCCUGAAAGAAGGGCUGGUCUGCGAGUAUCAGUGAUUAUUGAAUAGUUAGUAGUCAGUGGCAAGAAGAAGAAGGAUGGGAAUUGGAUGAGGUGUGAAUGGCGAGUGUCGUAUCCUUGCCAGGGACAUGCAGAAGCAUCACAGUCCAGUCAGCCGUGGGCCCAAGCUCUUCCCCGAUCUGGAACGGGGGUGGUUUUCAUUUCCUGCGUUAUGGAUCUCCACCACGUGCCGCGUUCUGCCCGCAUGCGAAAACUGUUUCCUCACCCACAGGCUUCCGGCCAUCAUCCCAUCAACACCAUCAUCCCUGCUUGUUUACCUCCUGCUGCGCCCCGGCCCCGUGCCGAUCCUUUCGGAGUGAUCGCGUACCUGCUCUUGUGUCCAAAAAGAUGGAAGCCUAUACACCACAUGAGGAAAAGAUGAUCUUUGUAACGGGGCGUAGACUGAUCUACCCCAGCUGCUUUGCUCGUCUCGGCCUCGUACAGCCUAGAGCUCGACUCGUACAAUGCCGAUAAUCCAUAUUCUUACCUCAUUCCGUGGGAUAAAUUGGGUAGCAUCCUAGAACUUGUCAGAAAAGCCGAAUACAAAGAAGGAUUUCCAGCUUAUAUGCGCCAAUUGUCCCAAUUGUCCUACAGCCUGUUUGCUGUAUUUCCUGGAUGCAAAUUUGAC
RNAcentral lists this small RNA (2073 nucleotides) under Cryptococcus neoformans H99. RNAcentral's name for it is "Cryptococcus neoformans var. grubii H99 hypothetical RNA". The record is from RNAcentral. Lineage: Eukaryota; Fungi; Basidiomycota; Tremellomycetes; Tremellales; Cryptococcaceae.